CACCGUGUGAUUAAUAGAAUUAUUUACUUAUUUACUAUGAUGAAAUGCACUGCAAUAUGUUUGCAAGACGGACCAGAUCCAAAACCCACUGAAGACGCCCAUGAGCCCUGAGGAAUCACAUUGCCUUGCAGCCACUGUACAGCCAUGAAAACCAGCUGAAAACAAAACCGAGCCUCUUCGGAGAAAGCCCCACAAGUGACCUCUUCAGCAAAGUGGACAAAGAUUUACAUUGGCUUCUCUUCUCCCCGGCUAUCACUUACACUACAUGCACACUGUUGUUCCUCCUGCCUGUGCCAUUGUACUUCCCUUCUAACCUGUUUUCAACCUGCAAAGGCUUUUGCAAGGAAGUCAGCACACAGCAAUGGUGUGAGCUUACAGCACGUUGGCUGCUUUGUGCUAAUUUCCCAUUAGUGCACAUAGGCGGUAGUUUCGAAGAUAGGUGCAGUGCCUUGUAUGUCAGUGGGUGUUCUAAGGUCUGCAGCUGGGCAGAUGGAUCAGUACUGCCUGACAUAUCAGCUUAUAGUGCAAGGAGACCGUUACUUCAGAUGAAUUUGCUAUGGAACCGUAAAAAGCCUCUGUUAUGAAUAGUCUUCUACAGACAGGAUGAUGUAACAUCCAGUAUAAGGCACCAUAACUGUGUU
This 641-nucleotide long non-coding RNA is filed under the name Gallus gallus (chicken). RNAcentral describes it as "long non-coding RNA NONGGAT008248". The record is from RNAcentral. Lineage: Eukaryota; Metazoa; Chordata; Aves; Galliformes; Phasianidae.